Molecule: ribosomal RNA, 1012 nt
Filed under: Penicillium senticosum
Lineage: Eukaryota; Fungi; Ascomycota; Eurotiomycetes; Eurotiales; Aspergillaceae
Description: SSU rRNA
Rfam family: Eukaryotic small subunit ribosomal RNA
Source: RNAcentral
AACUGCGAAUGGCUCAUUAAAUCAGUUAUCGUUUAUUUGAUAGUACCUUACUACAUGGAUACCUGUGGUAAUUCUAGAGCUAAUACAUGCUGAAAACCCCGACUCACGAAGGGGUGUAUUUAUUAGAUAAAAAACCAACGCCCUUCGGGGCUCCUUGGUGAAUCAUAAUAACUUAACGAAUCGCAUGGCCUUGCGCCGGCGAUGGUUCAUUCAAAUUUCUGCCCUAUCAACUUUCGAUGGUAGGAUAGUGGCCUACCAUGGUGGCAACGGGUAACGGGGAAUUAGGGUUCGAUUCCGGAGAGGGAGCCUGAGAAACGGCUACCACAUCCAAGGAAGGCAGCAGGCGCGCAAAUUACCCAAUCCCGAUACGGGGAGGUAGUGACAAUAAAUACUGAUACGGGGCUCUUUUGGGUCUCGUAAUUGGAAUGAGAACAAUUUAAAUCCCUUAACGAGGAACAAUUGGAGGGCAAGUCUGGUGCCAGCAGCCGCGGUAAUUCCAGCUCCAAUAGCGUAUAUUAAAGUUGUUGCAGUUAAAAAGCUCGUAGUUGAACCUUGGGUCUGGCUGGCCGGUCCGCCUCACCGCGAGUACUGGUCCGGCUGGACCUUUCCUUCUGGGGAACCCCAUGGCCUUCACUGGCUGUGGGGGGAACCAGGACUUUUACUGUGAAAAAAUUAGAGUGUUCAAAGCAGGCCUUUGCUCGAAUACAUUAGCAUGGAAUAAUAGAAUAGGACGUGCGGUUCUAUUUUGUUGGUUUCUAGGACCGCCGUAAUGAUUAAUAGGGAUAGUCGGGGGCGUCAGUAUUCAGCUGUCAGAGGUGAAAUUCUUGGAUUUGCUGAAGACUAACUACUGCGAAAGCAUUCGCCAAGGAUGUUUUCAUUAAUCAGGGAACGAAAGUUAGGGGAUCGAAGACGAUCAGAUACCGUCGUAGUCUUAACCAUAAACUAUGCCGACUAGGGAUCGGACGGGAUUCUAUAAUGACCCGUUCGGCACCUUACGAGAAAUCAAAGUUUU